CUGGCGGCGUGCCUAAUACAUGCAAGUCGAACGCACUCUCGUUUAGAUUGAAGGAGCUUGCUCCUGAUUGAUAACAUUUGAGUGAGUGGCGGACGGGUGAGUAACACGUGGGUAACCUGCCCUAAAGUGGGGAUAACAUUUGGAAACAGAUGCUAAUACCGCAUAAAACCUAACACCGCAUGGUGUAGGGUUGAAAGAUGGUUUCGGCUAUCACUUUAGGAUGGACCCGCGGUGCAUUAGUUAGUUGGUGAGGUAAAGGCUCACCAAGACCGUGAUGCAUAGCCGACCUGAGAGGGUAAUCGGCCACACUGGGACUGAGACACGGCCCAGACUCCUACGGGAGGCAGCAGUAGGGAAUCUUCCACAAUGGACGAAAGUCUGAUGGAGCAACGCCGCGUGAGUGAAGAAGGUUUUCGGAUCGUAAAACUCUGUUGUUGGAGAAGAAUGUAUCUGAUAGUAACUGAUCAGGUAGUGACGGUAUCCAACCAGAAAGCCACGGCUAACUACGUG
This 510-nucleotide ribosomal RNA is filed under the name uncultured bacterium. RNAcentral's name for it is "bacterial SSU rRNA". It matches the Rfam family "Bacterial small subunit ribosomal RNA", at positions 36 to 507 of the family's 1533-position model. The record is from RNAcentral.